RNAcentral lists this ribosomal RNA (460 nucleotides) under uncultured bacterium. Its description in RNAcentral is "partial 16S ribosomal RNA". It matches the Rfam family "Bacterial small subunit ribosomal RNA", at positions 338 to 795 of the family's 1533-position model. The record is from RNAcentral.
CCUACGUGUGGCUGCAGUGAGGAAUAUUGGUCAAUGGGAGGAAUCCUGACCCAGCCAUGCCGCGUGCAGUACGACGGCUCUACGAGUUUUAAACUGCUUUUGUACCGGGGUAAAAUGCUCUACGCGUAGAGUUUUGAAAGUACGGUACGCAUAAGGAUCGGCUAACUCCGUGCCAGCAGCCGCGGUAAUACGGCGGAUCCGAGCGUUAUCCGGCUUUAGUGGGUUUAAAGGGAGCGUAGGUGGAUUGUUAAGUCAGUUGUGAAAGUUUGCGGCUCAACCGUAAAAUUGCAGUUGAAACUGGCAGUCUUGAGGACAGUAGAGGUGGGCGGAAUUCGUGGUGUAGCGGUGAAAUGCUUAGAUAUCACGAAGAACUCCGAUUGCGAAGGCAGCUCACUGGACUGCAACUGACACUGAGGCUCGAAAGUGUGGGUAUCAAACAGGAUUAGAUACCCGGGUAGUC